This 453-nucleotide ribosomal RNA is filed under the name uncultured Brucellaceae bacterium. RNAcentral describes it as "bacterial SSU rRNA". It matches the Rfam family "Bacterial small subunit ribosomal RNA", at positions 29 to 524 of the family's 1533-position model. Lineage: Bacteria; Pseudomonadati; Pseudomonadota; Alphaproteobacteria; Hyphomicrobiales; Brucellaceae. The record is from RNAcentral.
AACGAACGCUGGCGGCAGGCUUAACACAUGCAAGUCGAGCGCCCUUUUCGGAGGGAGCGGCAGACGGGUGAGUAACGCGUGGGAAUCUACCUAUCUCUAGGGAAUAACUCAGGGAAACUUGUGCUAAUACCCUAUACGUCCGUAAGGAGAAAGAUUUAUCGGAGAUAGAUGAGCCCGCGUUGGAUUAGCUAGCUGGUGGGGUAAUGGCCCACCAAGGCGACGAUCCAUAGCUGGUCUGGGAGGAUGAUCAGCCACACUGGGACUGAGACACGGCCCAGACUCCUACGGGAGGCAGCAGUGGGGAAUAUUGGACAAUGGGCGCAAGCCUGAUCCAGCCAUGCCGCGUGAGUGAUGAAGGCCCUAGGGUUGUAAAGCUCUUUCACCGGUGAAGAUAAUGACGGUAACCGGAGAAGAAGCCCCGGCUAACUUCGUGCCAGCAGCAGCCGCAGUAAC